Molecule: ribosomal RNA, 863 nt
Filed under: uncultured bacterium
Lineage: Bacteria
Description: bacterial SSU rRNA
Rfam family: Bacterial small subunit ribosomal RNA
Source: RNAcentral
GGCCUAACACAUGCAAGUCGAGCGGUAGCGGGCCUGACCACUCUCGAGUGGUUCAGGCGCCGACGAGCGGCGGACGGGUGCGUAACACGUAGGAAUCUGCCCGGUAGUGGGGGAUAGCCCGGAGAAAUUCGGAUUAAUACCGCAUACGCCCUAAGGGGGAAAGCAGGGGAUCGGUUCGCCGACCUUGCGCUAUCGGAUGAGCCUGCGUCGGAUUAGCUAGUUGGUGGGGUAAAGGCCUACCAAGGCGACGAUCCGUAGCUGGUCUGAGAGGAUGAUCAGCCACACUGGGACUGAGACACGGCCCAGACUCCUACGGGAGGCAGCAGUGGGGAAUAUUGCACAAUGGGCGAAAGCCUGAUGCAGCCAUGCCGCGUGUGUGAAGAAGGCCCUAGGGUUGUAAAGCACUUUCAGUGGGGAGGAAAGGUCGAAGGUUAAUACCCUUUGGCUGUGACGUUACCCACAGAAGAAGCACCGGCUAACUCCGUGCCAGCAGCCGCGGUAAUACGGAGGGUGCGAGCGUUAAUCGGAAUUACUGGGCGUAAAGCGUGCGUAGGCGGCCAUUUAAGUUGGAUGUGAAAGCCCCGGGCUCAACCUGGGAACUGCAUCCAAAACUGGGUGGCUUGAGUGCGAGAGAGGAGUGUGGAAUUUCCUGUGUAGCGGUGAAAUGCGUAGAUAUAGGAAGGAACACCAGUGGCGAAGGCGACACUCUGGCUUGACACUGACGCUGAGGUACGAAAGCGUGGGGAGCAAACAGGAUUAGAUACCCUGGUAGUCCACGCCGUAAACGAUGUCUACUAGUUGUCGGUGGUCUUGUACUGCUGGUAACGCAGCUAACGCGAUAAGUAGACCGCCUGGGGAGUACG